AGAGUUUGAUCCUGGCUCAGAUUGAACGCUGGCGGCAUGCCUUACACAUGCAGUCGAGCGGGUUUACCCUUCGGGGUAAGCUAGCGGCGGACGGGUGAGUAACACGUAGGUAACCUGCCUAUAAGAUCGGGAUAACUAUCGGAAACGAUAGCUAAAACCGGAUAACUGGUUUUCUCGCAUGAAAGAAUUAUGAAACACGGAGCAAUCUGUGGCUUAUAGAUGGGCCUGCGGCGCAUUAGCUAGUUGGUAGGGUAACGGCCUACCAAGGCGACCAUGCGUAACCCACCUGAGAGGGUGAACGGCCACACUGGGACUGAAACACGGCCCAGACUCCUACGGGAGGCAGCAGUAGGGAAUCUUCCGCAAUGGACGCAAGUCUGACGGAACAACGCCGCGUGAGUGAUGAAGGUUUUCGGAUCGUAAAGCUCUGUUGCCCUAAACGAACAGCAAGGAAAGUAACUGCUCUUUGUGUGACGGUAUAGGAAAAGAAAGCCCCGGCUAACUACGUGCCAGCAGCCGCGGUAAUACGUAGGGGGCAAGCGUUGUCCGGAAUUAUUGGGCGUAAAGCGCGCGCAGGCGGUCAAUUAAGUUGGGUGUUUAAGCCCGGG
RNAcentral lists this ribosomal RNA (608 nucleotides) under Paenibacillus sp. E3R15_pA. Its description in RNAcentral is "bacterial SSU rRNA". It matches the Rfam family "Bacterial small subunit ribosomal RNA", at positions 8 to 606 of the family's 1533-position model. The record is from RNAcentral. Lineage: Bacteria; Bacillati; Bacillota; Bacilli; Caryophanales; Paenibacillaceae.